This 489-nucleotide ribosomal RNA is filed under the name Triticum aestivum (bread wheat). RNAcentral describes it as "partial small subunit ribosomal RNA". Lineage: Eukaryota; Viridiplantae; Streptophyta; Magnoliopsida; Poales; Poaceae. The record is from RNAcentral.
AUGAAGAAGGUUGUGCUCAAGCUGGACGUGCACGACGACAGGCACAAGGCCAAGGCGCUCAAGGCCGUCUCCGGUCUCCACGGCAUCGACCAGCUGGGCGUGGACAUGAAGGAGCAGAAGAUGACCAUCGUGGGCACCGUCGACCCCGUAGCCGUCGUCGGCAAGCUGCGCAAGCUCUUCCCGGGCGUGCAGAUCGUCUCCGUCGGCCCGGCCAAGGAGGAGAAGAAGGACGACAAGAAGGACGGCGGAGGGGACAAGAAGCCCGCCGGAGACAAGAAGGAGGGCGACAAGAAGGACGGCGGCGGCGACAAGAAAGACGGGGCCAAGAAGGACGGCGGCGACAAGAAGCAGCAGGAGGCGAAGCCACCCAUGGCCGUGUACCCGCCCUACGGCUACGCGCACUACGGGUACCCGCCGCCGCCGCCGCCGCCGCCGCGCUACUUCGUCCGCAGCGCCGAGGAGGACCCCAACUCGUGCGUCAUCUGCUGA